Long non-coding RNA from Suricata suricatta (meerkat), 315 nucleotides. RefSeq lists it as uncharacterized. Lineage: Eukaryota; Metazoa; Chordata; Mammalia; Carnivora; Herpestidae. The transcript has 2 exons. The record is from RefSeq and is a predicted model, not a curated record.
UGGUCAUCAGCGGCUGCUUCUCCAGCGACAACACUGCUCUAGCCUGGGUGUUUCCAAAACAAAGCCAGCUGCCACGGGUCCACGUAGAUGGGGUCAGCCUACGACUCCCUCAUUCCUGCCUUCGGACUAACGUUCAGAAGACUUCCCUGUUUUCUAGCUUGGGCUGUGCACCUAGGAAGGCCCCAUCGGAGACUGCUGCCUCUGAGAAGAACAGAAAGUCCCAGCUGGACUUAGGAAGGAUGAAAUCCAUCCCAGGCCCGAGCUCUCUGAAAAGUUGUUAUUAAAUUCCACGCGUGGCCCUGACCUGGAUUUAAA